Astatotilapia calliptera (eastern happy) is the source of this 350-nucleotide long non-coding RNA. NCBI's taxonomy places the organism in Eukaryota, Metazoa, Chordata, Actinopteri, Cichliformes, Cichlidae. The record is from Ensembl.
GACAAAUAAAUAACCAGACAAACAGGGCAGCUGUUAACAGAAAUCAGUGGAAGCAGUUACAAUGUCUGUUUAUGGCCAGAAUCACUUUACUUGGAAUGGUACUCUGAGAGAUCUGCAUGUCAGCUAUACAGGCUUCUGCACAGGACGAGGUCGACCAAGUAUGACGGCCACCUUAAGCUCCUCCAGCGGCUUAGAGGUCCUCCUUUCCACUCUGCAGAAUGUAGGGGAUGUGGAGAGCACCUUAAAUAUCCUCAGUGUCUUGGAUGAACUUCUGUCAGCUGGUAAGAUCAUCUUCUCACCAUUUGGUUUCCAUCCUUACGUAAAAAGUUGUUGUGCUAUGGAAAAUGCCA